Molecule: unclassified non-coding RNA, 82 nt
Filed under: Pseudomonas helmanticensis
Lineage: Bacteria; Pseudomonadati; Pseudomonadota; Gammaproteobacteria; Pseudomonadales; Pseudomonadaceae
Source: RNAcentral
AGGAAUGAGCCUGCUCGCGAUGGCGGUGUAUCAGCGAAAAAUAUGUGGCUGACACACCACCAUCGCGAGCAGGCUCACUCCU